RNAcentral lists this ribosomal RNA (800 nucleotides) under uncultured archaeon. Its description in RNAcentral is "bacterial SSU rRNA". It matches the Rfam family "Archaeal small subunit ribosomal RNA", at positions 81 to 879 of the family's 1478-position model. The record is from RNAcentral.
CCUUACGGCUCAGUAACACGUGGAUAACCUGCCCUUGGGUCCGGCAUAACCCCGGGAAACUGGGGAUAAUUCCGGAUAACGCAUAUAUGCUGGAAUGCUUUAUGCGUCAAAUGGAUUCGUCUGCCCAAGGAUGGAUCUGCGGCCUAUCAGGUAGUAGUGGGUGUAAUGUACCUACUAGCCAACAACGGGUACGGGUUGUGAGAGCAAGAGCCCGGAGAUGGAUUCUGAGACAUGAAUCCAGGCCCUACGGGGCGCAGCAGGCGCGAAAACUUUACAAUGCGGGAAACCGUGAUAAGGGGACACCGAGUGCUAGCAUCAUAUGCUGGCUGUCCGGGUGUGUAAAAUACACCUGUUAGCAAGGGCCGGGCAAGACCGGUGCCAGCCGCCGCGGUAACACCGGCGGCCCGAGUGGUGAUCGUGAUUAUUGGGUCUAAAAGGUCCGUAGCCGGUUUGGUCAGUCCUCCGGGAAAUCUGACAGCUCAACUGUUAGGCUUUCGGGGGAUACUGCCAGACUUGGAACCGGGAGAGGUAAGAGGUACUACAGGGGUAGGAGUGAAAUCUUGUAAUCCCUGUGGGACCACCUGUGGCGAAGGCGUCUUACCAGAACGGGUUCGACGGUGAGGGACGAAAGCUGGGGGCACGAACCGGAUUAGAUACCCGGGUAGUCCCAGCCGUAAACGAUGCUCGCUAGGUGUCAGGCAUGGCGCGACCGUGUCUGGUGCCGCAGGGAAGCCGUGAAGCGAGCCACCUGGGAAGUACGGCCGCAAGGCUGAAACUUAAAGGAAUUGGCGGGGGAGCAC